GACAGGUGCUGCAUGGCUGUCGUCAGCUCGUGUCGUGAGAUGUUCGGUUAAGUCCCGCAACGAGCGCAACCCCUAUCUUUAGUUGCCAUCAUUGAGUUGGGCACUCUAAAGAGACUGCCGGUGUCAAACCGGAGGAAGGUGGGGAUGACGUCAAGUCCUCAUGGCCUUUAUGACCAGGGCUACACACGUACUACAAUGGCCGGUACAAAGGGCAGCGACACAGCGAUGUGAAGCCAAUCCCGAAAAGCCGGUCUCAGUCCGGAUUGGAGUCUGCAACUCGACUCCAUGAAGUUGGAAUCGCUAGUAAUCGCGGAUCAGCACGCCGCGGUGAAUACGUUCCCGGGCCUU
This 348-nucleotide ribosomal RNA is filed under the name uncultured Desulfocapsa sp. RNAcentral's name for it is "bacterial SSU rRNA". It matches the Rfam family "Bacterial small subunit ribosomal RNA", at positions 1033 to 1382 of the family's 1533-position model. The record is from RNAcentral. Lineage: Bacteria; Pseudomonadati; Thermodesulfobacteriota; Desulfobulbia; Desulfobulbales; Desulfocapsaceae.